AACGCACGAGACCUGCGGACCUGCGGAGGGAUCAUUGAUGAGAAGCUGCCCCUCGUGGGUAGACCUCCCACCCUCUGUGAACUUACCUUUGUUGCUUUGGCAGGCCCGUCCUCUGGACCGCCGGCUUCGGCUGGCCCGUGCCUGCCAGAGGAUUCCAAACCCUGUCUGUCAGUGUUGUCUGAGUCUAUAUGAAAUCGUUAAAACUUUUAGCAACGGAUCUCUAGAUCGGAAGAGCACACG
This 240-nucleotide unclassified non-coding RNA is filed under the name soil metagenome. RNAcentral's name for it is "partial contains 5.8S ribosomal RNA, internal transcribed spacer 2, and large subunit ribosomal RNA". The record is from RNAcentral.